RNAcentral lists this ribosomal RNA (858 nucleotides) under uncultured bacterium. RNAcentral's name for it is "SSU rRNA". It matches the Rfam family "Bacterial small subunit ribosomal RNA", at positions 524 to 1381 of the family's 1533-position model. The record is from RNAcentral.
UACGGAGGAUCCAAGCGUUAUCCGGAAUCAUUGGGUUUAAAGGGUCCGUAGGCGGUUUAAUAAGUCAGAGGUGAAAUCCUACAGCUCAACUGUAGAAUUGCCUUUGAUACUGUUAGACUUGAGUUAUUGUGAAGUAGUUAGAAUGUGUAGUGUAGCGGUGAAAUGCAUAGAUAUUACACAGAAUACCGAUUGCGAAAGCAGAUUACUAACAAUACACUGACGCUGAGGGACGAAAGCGUGGGUAGCGAACAGGAUUAGAUACCCUGGUAGUCCAUGCCGUAAACGAUGGAUACUAGCUGUUCGACCAACAUUGGUUGGUUGAGUGGCUAAGCGAAAGUGAUAAGUAUCCCACCUGGGGAGUACGCUCGCAAGAGUGAAACUCAAAGGAAUUGACGGUGGCCCGCACAAGCGGUGGAGCAUGUGGUUUAAUUCGAUGAUACGCGAGGAACCUUACCAGGGCUUAAAUGUAAGUUGCAUAGAUCAGAGAUGGUCUUUUCUUCGGACUACUUACAAGGUGCUGCAUGGUUGUCGUCAGCUCGUGCCGUGAGGUGUCAGGUUAAGUCCUAUAACGAGCGCAACCCCUGUCGUUAGUUGCCAUCAAGUAAUGUUGGGUACUCUAGCGAGACUGCCGGUGCAAACCGUGAGGAAGGUGGGGAUGACGUCAAAUCAUCACGGCCCUUACGUCCUGGGCUACACACGUGCUACAAUGGCCGGUACGGAGAGCAGCCACUACGCGAGUAGGAGCGAAUCUAUAAAACCGGUCUCAGUUCGGAUCGCAGUCUGCAACUCGACUGCGUGAAGCUGGAAUCGCUAGUAAUCGGAUAUCAGCCAUGAUCCGGUGAAUACGUUCCCGGGCCU